This 451-nucleotide ribosomal RNA is filed under the name uncultured bacterium. RNAcentral describes it as "bacterial SSU rRNA". It matches the Rfam family "Bacterial small subunit ribosomal RNA", at positions 29 to 507 of the family's 1533-position model. The record is from RNAcentral.
AACGAACGCUGGCGGCACGCUUAACACAUGCAAGUCGGACGGAGUAAUGGAGCUUGCUCUAUUACUUAGUGGCGGACGGGUGAGUAUAAUGUAGGAAUCUGCCCAUGGGUUAGGGAUAGCACCGGGAAACUGGUGGUAAUACCUGAUGAGCUAGGGAUAGGAAAGGAGAGAUUCGCCGAUGGAGGAGCCUGCAUCUGAUUAGAUAGUUGGCGGUGUAAUGGACCACCAAGUCGAUGAUCAGUAGCUGUUCUGAGAGGAAGAUCAGCCACAUUGGGACUGAGAUACGGCCCAAACUCCUACGGGAGGCAGCAGUGGGGGAUAUUGCACAAUGGAGGAAACUCUGAUGCAGCAACGCCGCGUGAGGGAAGAAGGUCUUCGGAUUGUAAACCUAAGUUGUCAGGACGAACAAAUGACGGUACCUGAAAAAGAAAAGACUCCGGCUAACUACGUG